Nannospalax galili (Upper Galilee mountains blind mole rat) is the source of this 375-nucleotide long non-coding RNA. RefSeq lists it as uncharacterized. NCBI's taxonomy places the organism in Eukaryota, Metazoa, Chordata, Mammalia, Rodentia, Spalacidae. The record is from RefSeq and is a predicted model, not a curated record. The transcript is spliced from 2 exons.
UAAAUAGGUCCUUGUUACAAAAGCUGAAGAUAUACAUCCCUAAAUCUUGCUUUAGAAGUUCCACAUGUACAGUUUGUCACCACCAAAAUCCCCAAUGAUAGCAUCUUCCCCAUUUCAGGCUGUGAAUGCUGAGAUGGUUCGAGAAGUGUGUACCAAAUACAUUUAUGAUAAAAGUCCAGCUAUUGCUGCUGUUGGUCCUAUUGAGAGGUUACCAGAUUUUAACCAGAUUCGUAGUAACAUGUGCUGGGUGUGCAACUAAAAUUGUUGUAACAGAAUAUUUUGACCAUAUAUACUUGGAAAACUAAGAUCUGAAAGUUUUUUUUUAAAAAAAGCUGUCAGUUCCCAAAGGAAAAAAUAAAAUGAAUGUGUUCAGAA